Molecule: long non-coding RNA, 449 nt
Filed under: Lepidothrix coronata (blue-crowned manakin)
Lineage: Eukaryota; Metazoa; Chordata; Aves; Passeriformes; Pipridae
Description: lncRNA (ENSLCOG00000007252.1)
Source: RNAcentral
UCAUGGGUCAAUGUGAACCUUCAGGAAGUGAACCUGUGAGUGUCACGGUAGAAGAGAAAACUUCAGCUGGCAACGUGAGCUGUGGGAACAAUUCCCCCGAGCCAGAGGGCCCUGGUGCUGCUGGACUUGACCCAAUCUGAAAGCACAACUGUGCAGAAGAGGGUUCUGGGGAGGAUCAGGAAUCUGAUCCAUGGGCUGGCCAACGUUUCCAAAUGGAGGUACAGCAGACCCUGGCUGUUGGACUGUCAUUUCAAUUACAGCCAAGAAGCUGCUCUCCUUGAUGACCAAGGAGAGUUCUCUGAGCUUUGCUUUGAUGAAGUUAAAGGAAGACCAAGGAGCUGGAAGGUUCCUGCCCAGACAUCCCGAGUCCAGUUUCCAGUUCCCUGGUGUGCUGUACACACAUAUGCACACAGAGGCAUCCCACCGGUCAGCAGCCUAAGACACUGUGC